UACGUAGGCAGCGAGCGUUGUUCGGAGUUACUGGGCGUAAAGAGUGCGUAGGCGGUUUUCUAAGUUUGGUGUGAAAUCUCCCGGCUCAACUGGGGAACUGCACAGGAAACUAGCGGGCUUGAGUUCGGGAGAGGGAAGCGGAAUUCCGGGUGUAGCGGUGAAAUGCGUAGAUAUCCGGAGGAACACCGGUGGCGAAGGCGGCUUCCUGGACCGACACUGACGCUGAGGCGCGAAAGCUAGGGGAGCAAACGGG
This 253-nucleotide ribosomal RNA is filed under the name uncultured bacterium. Its description in RNAcentral is "partial 16S ribosomal RNA". It matches the Rfam family "Bacterial small subunit ribosomal RNA", at positions 524 to 776 of the family's 1533-position model. The record is from RNAcentral.